This 941-nucleotide long non-coding RNA is filed under the name Anas platyrhynchos platyrhynchos (common mallard). RNAcentral describes it as "lncRNA (ENSAPLG00000031211.1)". The record is from RNAcentral. Lineage: Eukaryota; Metazoa; Chordata; Aves; Anseriformes; Anatidae.
CAGGCGUUUCAGCUGUUGAUGCGAGCAUAUCUGACUGCAGCAAGAAAAAGCCAUCCCCCGUUAAUGGCACCUUCAUUCUCGUUUUUACCAGCCUGCCUGCCUGCAAAACGUCCUUGCUCUGCGCUGAUGGCAGCCUUUGUGAUAGUUUCUGGGAAGCUGAUGCUCGCACGUGUGCCAGGGACUGGCUGGUGAGUGCAGACAGGAUUCCCUUCUGGACCAAGCCACCGACGAGAUGGGUUUUUUGCAGCUCCAGCUGCACAGGUACAAUGUAAGCUAAAUAUGCUGUCUGGUUUUCCGAAAGCUGAAAAAUGUCACUAUUGAUUACCUGGAAGCAAUCAGAAAUUUUCGUCAAAUUUUGAAAGAUUUUGGUGUGCUUUUCUUUUCGGUGGCUGCAUCGAAGUUCAGGGAAGGAAGGCUGCCCUCAUAGCUGGUGGUUAAUGGCAAUUCUGCAAAUAACUGACGCACGCAGACAUAGUUAAGACUGGAAGAAGGAGCCUUCAGAGACUACUAAAUAAGAAAGAAAGAGUGUUAGGCAGUUCCUGGAGUCUGUGAGAGUAUUUUAGAGAUAUACAGGUACAAACCCCAGAGACAAGAGCAGUGCUUUGUGGAGGAGUCACCGAGGCGCAGUGCACCAACCCCAGCGGGCGGAGGACGCAUUGUGCUCGGCACCGCUUGCUGCCAGGGAGCCCGGCUACAGGAGGAGCCCUCGCUGCAGCAGCUGCAGGAAAUUAAAUCCACAUAGAGGUUUGUUCCUGCUCUGUAGCAGUCCGGUUCAGGCAACGUGUUUCCCCCCCCCCGUGGUGCAGGGGCUGCAGAAAUGCGCUGACAUCUCCCCCUACGCGGUAGGUGUCUGUCCUGCUCUCCAUGUCCUCACGCAGCCAAACUGCCCUAUGCCCUUGCUGCAAAAGGCGGAUGCUCUGAAGCUGAUGAUAAUUCAUUAA